Molecule: ribosomal RNA, 506 nt
Filed under: uncultured bacterium
Lineage: Bacteria
Description: partial 16S ribosomal RNA
Rfam family: Bacterial small subunit ribosomal RNA
Source: RNAcentral
AGUGAACGCUGGCGGUAGGCCUAACACAUGCAAGUCGAACGGCAGCACAGGAGAGCUUGCUCUCUGGGUGGCGAGUGGCGGACGGGUGAGGAAUACAUCGGAAUCUACUCUGUCGUGGGGGAUAACGUAGGGAAACUUACGCUAAUACCGCAUACGACCUACGGGUGAAAGCAGGGGACCUUCGGGCCUUGCGCGAUGGAAUGAGCCGAUGUCGGAUUAGCUAGUUGGCGGGGUAAAGGCCCACAAAGGCGACGAUCCGUAGCUGGUCUGAGAGGAUGCUCAGCCACACUGGAACUGAGACACGGUCCAGACUCCUACGGGAGGCAGCAGUGGGGAAUAUUGGACAAUGGGCGCAAGCCUGAUCCAGCCAUACCGCGUGGGUGAAGAAGGCCUUCGGGUUGUAAAGCCCUUUUGUUGGGAAAGAAAUCCAGCUGGCUAAUACCCGGUUGGGAUGACGGUACCCAAAGAAUAAGCACCGGCUAACUUCGUGCCAGCAGCCGCGGUAA